This 253-nucleotide ribosomal RNA is filed under the name uncultured bacterium. RNAcentral describes it as "partial 16S ribosomal RNA". It matches the Rfam family "Bacterial small subunit ribosomal RNA", at positions 524 to 776 of the family's 1533-position model. The record is from RNAcentral.
UACGAAGGGAGCUAGCGUUGUUCGGAAUCACUGGGCGUAAAGCGCACGUAGGCGGAUGUGUCAGUCAGGGGUGAAAUCCCGGAGCUCAACUUCGGAACUGCCUUUGAUACAGCACAUCUGGAGUCCGGAAGAGGUGGGUGGAAUUCCUAGUGUAGAGGUGAAAUUCGUAGAUAUUCGCAAGAACACCAGUGGCGAAGGCGGCUCACUGGCCCGGUACUGACGCUGAGGUGCGAAAGCGUGGGGAGCAAACAGG